RNAcentral lists this ribosomal RNA (309 nucleotides) under Triticum aestivum (bread wheat). RNAcentral describes it as "partial small subunit ribosomal RNA". Lineage: Eukaryota; Viridiplantae; Streptophyta; Magnoliopsida; Poales; Poaceae. The record is from RNAcentral.
AUGAAGAUAAAGAGGCGUUUUCUGAACCUUUGCCAGGACAACAGAGAGAUAUGUGCUUUGACAAGCAUGUGUAGACCAGAUAAAGGAAGUAAUUCCUCAAGUAUGCCUGAUUCCAGUUACAAUGUUAAGCAAUAUACAUUCUCGCUCUCCCCGCCAGCCAUCGAUCGUCUCGCCUCGCUCGAGGCCAGCUCUGCAGCUAACGCCAUCGACGAUAGGAGCGAGGCGGUGCUCCAACAGCUAAGGCGGCUACUGAAGGAAAUAUGCCCUGGAGGCAAUAAUAAAGUUAUUAUUUAUUUCCUUAUAUCAUGA